This 730-nucleotide long non-coding RNA is filed under the name Phascolarctos cinereus (koala). Its description in RNAcentral is "lncRNA (ENSPCIG00000036307.1)". Lineage: Eukaryota; Metazoa; Chordata; Mammalia; Diprotodontia; Phascolarctidae. The record is from RNAcentral.
AAAAAAUUACUUAUCUUACAUAUUAAUAUCAACAAUUAUCUUUAUAUUAUUCUAGUUAGUUGCCUUUCAGUAUAGGAAACAUAAGAAAUUAAUUUUUCUGUUUUAUUAUUUCAGAUUCUUUUGGAGAGGCCAAGAAUCUUCCUUUGACUCCAGAUCAGAAAUUUUCUGAAGGAGGUGUUAUAAAUACUCCUGAAAGAAAGAACCUACAACUGCUUUCUCAGUCAGCCAAAGGACCAUGAUUCGUUUGGAUCUCAGUCACCAGGGAGAUGAGGUGGAAGGAUAUAACCCAGACUUGGGUGUGAUGAACUUUAAGCUACAGCAUAAAGAAGGAAAUCCGUUGAUUUAAGACAUCUGAUGUUAGCAGGCAACAGAAGGCACCAGUGGAAUUCUUGUUGUACCAUGGAUUGUGGAAGCUUUGAGCUAUACAGAGUUCCAGAAAAGGAGCAGCAUGAGGAGUGCACAGAAGCAGGGGUGGACAUGUGGAAAACAGAGGCAGCCUGAAUCAAUAAAGGAUUCUGAAAGAACUGAGAAUAAGCAAUCAGAUGAAAAAGAAGAAAAUCCCGUAGUAGAAUUACAUGGGGAAAAUUCAGGAGGGGCGGAGCCAAGAUGGCAGAGUGAAAGCAGUGACUUGCUUCAGCUCUCCCCCAAACCCCUCCAAAUACUCAUAAAAAAUGUCUCUAAACAAAUUCUGAAGCAGCAGAACCCACAAAAAGACAGAGUGAAACAAAUU